This 336-nucleotide long non-coding RNA is filed under the name Sus scrofa (pig). Its description in RNAcentral is "lncRNA (ENSSSCG00070004231.1)". Lineage: Eukaryota; Metazoa; Chordata; Mammalia; Artiodactyla; Suidae. The record is from RNAcentral.
UCAGACUUCACAGAAGCAGGCAUGGCUAAAGAGACCCCCCCAAAGACCUCACAGCAAGCCCAGGAUGAGGAGAUUCAGCCUUUGUGAAGAGAUCUUGGAUGUUGAAGUAAAAUGUGAUUAUUCGUAUAGAAGUAACAGAGAUCUGGCCAAGGAUGGAGCAACAUCUCUCAAAGGCUGAGAACACUCUCUGGGUUGCACUUCGAUGGCAGCGGCAAAAGGGAUCAGCUGAGAUGGUGGAGUAGAGAGACCCAGAGCUCAUGUCCUCUCACAGACACACCAAUAAUACAACUAUUUAUACAAUAGCCAUUUGAUGAAAAAGGCUGGAUGCUACUAGAA